Long non-coding RNA from Anas platyrhynchos (mallard), 2837 nucleotides. RefSeq lists it as uncharacterized. The record is from RefSeq and is a predicted model, not a curated record. NCBI's taxonomy places the organism in Eukaryota, Metazoa, Chordata, Aves, Anseriformes, Anatidae.
UGCUGUGGGGAAGUCACAGCUGCUGGAAAUGAUUGCAGCACCAUUAAAGCAAUAGCAUGCUCCUAUAGGCACCAGCUGAAACUCUGGCUCGUACACAUCUGCCCAGAUUCUGCAUGAAGCUGGGGCUGAACCCCUGCUCCCUUGUCCCCCCCAGAAGUGAGGCAUGGAGGGGAAGGCACUGCAGGUCCAGGCAGCAGUGACCCCCCCUCCCCUCAGCCCUUGGGUGCAUGUGGAAUACAGAACAGGAGGGAAUUCCCCGGGAGAUGUCUCCUGCAGUUUGAGAAACUCAGUCUGCCUGAAAUUUCUAUUCCAUUUGUUUAAGAACAAAACAAAGAGAAGGCUUUUAAUGGAAGGCAAAACGGAAGACAACCCUCAAAAGAAGAAGUGAAGAAAAAGGUGGCAUUUGAAUUACAUUUACAGCACUGCACAGGUGUCAGAAGUGAAACACGGCUGCAGAGCUCUUCAGAUCUUACAGAGAUCACAGGUCUGGGCUUUUGCUGUAGAUCAACUUAUUCUGUAGCAAGUGUGAAUACUUAGAGGGAAGAAUAUUUACAAAUACAAAAUUAAGCACAUCAUCGUAUCAAAACAAUGCAUUUAGGCUUCAAUUUUAGAACCAGUUCAGUGUGUACCUGCCUCUACACAUGUAAGCAGCCUGCUCAGAGCUAGGCUUUUAAUAUUAAACUUUUUUUUAUUAUUUGACAAAUGGUGUUAGAUGCUAAUUAGUUGGUGACCGCAUUCUUAAUUUGCCUUUGCCUGUGCAGUGGAAAGAAGUAGUUUAUAAACUGAGAGUGAGAACACUGAAAGCCAAAACUAAUCAAGGAAGAGAGAAGAUUAACAGCCAGUCUCUAGAUCUGCCCCUUGAUAUUCAGAGUAAAGGGCAGGUGAUAGCAGGGAGGACAAUUUGGAAAGUUACAACAAAAGUUUAGGGCCUCCGGUCCUGAUUACUAAGCACAUUUGGGGCAGACUGUACAACACCAGGAUCUUCAGUUUAUCUUUUCAAGUGGUCUUUUUUUUUUAAACAAACAAACAAACACAUAUAUUUUGUCUUCAUUUACUGCACAGUACAAAUGUGUGCAUGCUUGAAGUUUGCUUCUGUUUUCAGUCCUGAGGAAGAGCUGGUGUGCCUGAAAUCCCUCCUCUCUUCCGAUUGCAUUGCUUCAAUGAAAGGUAUUGCUUCUCUGUGCAAAUCUUUAUUCUCAUUCUAGCACCAUAGUAGCAACUCUGUUACUUUCAUUACUACUAUCAACCAAUUCAUAUGUACUCAAAUAAAUGGCAGUAAGAUCCCGAAGAUCUUUUACCCUAUGAGUUAAAAGAAAAGAGAACAGCCAUAUCAUGUGCUGUUGUUUAGAAAAGGAUCCAUUUGCAGAACAAAGUACAGAAACAAAACUGUAGGUUGAGCAAAAUGAGCUUGGAGAAAGCUAUUUAUUUAUUUAUUUAUAGAAAUCUACGUGCUAUCGAACAAGCUUCUGUUUACAUGUCUUCUCCUACACUACGUGUACUGUGAUAAAUGGAAAGAAAAGGCAUGCCAUGCUUCAAGUCUGUUAAAGUUCAUACUCAGUGAAAACAAAACAAAAUCAAGGUCAAAUAGAAAAUCUUUAAUAGCUGUACUGUCAGCAUGCCUCACAGGACUUGAAAUCUAUGAGUUUAUACACACAGGAUGUAUGAAAUAGAGAAAGGGGAAAAAAAAACCUGCAGUUUCUUUUGCGUUAUAAAAAUAAACUGUUCUAUGCUAAAUGUGCUGCUUAUAAAGUAAGUAGACCUACACAUUUUAGCAGAGUAUAAAAAUACCUACCAAAAUGCGUUUUUAAAGAAUGCAGCACUUUGGCCUAGAAUGCAAAAAGGGGAGGGGAAAAACAAAACAAAACAAACCCCAAGCUGUUGCUGAUGACAGAGGGAGGCUGGUAACUGAAUAUGCGUUGAGGAGAUAGCUGCUAAUGCAAGAGCAAGGCACAUUCUUGGGGGGGAGGGCGCGGGGCGCCUUGUGCACGGCUACUGCACAAAGUUGCUCCAUGGAUUAUCUGAUGUUGCAAGAACCUGAUUGCUUGCAGCUUUCUCAUCACUGCCUCAUCUGUGUCUUCAUUUAGUAAACCUAAUCAUGUGAGCAUGUUAGUCAAAUUGGAGACCAUGCCUAACUACCAAACUGCCCCUGCAGCAGGCGUUUCCUGUAAACAUACUACUGUGUGCACUGCUGCAGAGGCAAGAACAUGAGAAUCAUCUGACACGAUUGGAUUUUCUUUUAGUCGUUGCUGAAAUAAUGCUGAAAGACGUAAUUUGUGUGAAGGGGGAAUUCAAAAACAAGCCACAGAACACUGAUAAAGCUUUCUCAUCAGUCUGUCUAUUUUCUAGUCUCAGUCUCAGCUAUCUCGCAAACAAUUUAUGAGCAAUUUUGUAAGCAAAGUAAAAUGAUCCUGAUUUUACAAACAGAAUUUGCUGUACAGAAAUGAAUCCUGUACAAUUUUAUAUCCUAACACAUGUCCCAGACACCCAAACUAAUUUACAAAGGACUUCUCAAAUUUGUUCUGUAGCUUUGAGCCAUUAAGUUAUGCUGCGAUUGUGGUUUCAAGCUUAUCUCCUUUAAAAGCUAAAACGUUGUGUAUUUACUUUAUUUAUCUAUUCAUGCCAGCAUAAGGAGAAUUUUGUAUGACUUGAAUGCUAGAGCCAGGGCUUUUAAAAAUAAAACCAAAACAAAACAACAAAAACCUGCCUAAGACUUGACUGCUAGAGCCAGGGCUUUUAAAAAUAAAACCAAAACAAAACAACAAAAACCUGCCUAAUUUUUUGUGCUUUGUGAGAAGACUUGCCCAAGAUCACACAGGAAGUCUGUGGCAGACUUGGGA